Molecule: ribosomal RNA, 24 nt
Filed under: Curvularia hawaiiensis
Lineage: Eukaryota; Fungi; Ascomycota; Dothideomycetes; Pleosporales; Pleosporaceae
Description: partial 18S ribosomal RNA
Source: RNAcentral
UACGUGACCUGCGGAGGGUCAUUA